RNAcentral lists this ribosomal RNA (425 nucleotides) under uncultured rumen bacterium. Its description in RNAcentral is "bacterial SSU rRNA". It matches the Rfam family "Bacterial small subunit ribosomal RNA", at positions 354 to 776 of the family's 1533-position model. The record is from RNAcentral.
GUGAGGAAUAUUGGACAAUGGCCGAGAGGCUGAUCCAGCCAUGCCGCGUGCGGGAGGACGGCCCUAUGGGUUGUAAACCGCUUUUGUUGGGGAGCAAUAAGUCUUACGUGUAAGAUGAUGAGAGUACCCAGCGAAUAAGCAUCGGCUAACUCCGUGCCAGCAGCCGCGGUAAUACGGAGGAUGCGAGCGUUAUCCGGAUUUAUUGGGUUUAAAGGGUGCGUAGGCGGGCUGUUAAGCGUGAGGUGAAAGCUCGGGGCUCAACCCCGGAACUGCCUCGCGAACUGGCGGUCUUGAAUGUCCGUGCCGUGGGAGGAAUGUGUGGUGUAGCGGUGAAAUGCAUAGAGAUCACACAGAACACCGAUUGCGAAGGCAUCUCACGAACGGAUGAUUGACGCUGAGGCACGAAAGCGUGGGGAUCAAACAGG